GGCCGCAUAGUGUAGUGGUUGUAAGUUUGUUCAAACCCGCUUGAAAUAGUUCUACACUAACAAAAACUAUAGAGCACAUUAGAUUCUGACAAUAUAAUUGUGUAGUAUUCUGGGGACACAGGUUCGAACCCUGUUGCGGCCU
Non-coding RNA from Stipitochalara longipes BDJ, 142 nucleotides. NCBI's taxonomy places the organism in Eukaryota, Fungi, Ascomycota, Leotiomycetes, Helotiales, Hamatocanthoscyphaceae. The record is from the annotation of a GenBank genome assembly.